AGCUCUCAAAGUGCAUAGAAUUAUUGCUGCGGUUAAAAAGCUCGUAGUUGGAUCUGUGCCAUCGGACAGGGUCCGCCUUCGGGCGCGCACUUUGCUCCGAGGCUUUUUGCUGGUUUUCCCGUCGUAGCCUUCACUGGUUGCGGCGGGUGGCUGGCGAGUUUACUUUGAGAAAAUCAGAGUGCUCAACACAGGCGUUUCGCUUGAAUGAUUGUGCAUGGAAUAAUAGAAAAGGAUUUCGGUCCUCUUUUAUUGGUUUUGUGGACUGAGAUAAUGGUUAACAGGGACAAACGGGGGCAUUCGUAUCGCUGCGUGAGAGGUGAAAUUCUUGGACCGUAGCGAGACGCCCUACUGCGAAAGCAUUUGCCAAGAAUGUCUUCA
This 378-nucleotide ribosomal RNA is filed under the name uncultured eukaryote. Its description in RNAcentral is "SSU rRNA". It matches the Rfam family "Eukaryotic small subunit ribosomal RNA", at positions 587 to 972 of the family's 1831-position model. The record is from RNAcentral.